This 324-nucleotide ribosomal RNA is filed under the name uncultured bacterium. Its description in RNAcentral is "bacterial SSU rRNA". It matches the Rfam family "Bacterial small subunit ribosomal RNA", at positions 28 to 334 of the family's 1533-position model. The record is from RNAcentral.
GAUGAACGCUGGCGGCGUGCUUAACACAUGCAAGUCGAACGAAGCGACUUUACGGAAGUUUUCGGAUGGAAGUGAGGUUGACUGAGUGGCGGACGGGUGAGUAACGCGUGGGUAACCUGCCUCAUACAGGGGGAUAACAGUUAGAAAUGACUGCUAAUACCGCAUAAGCGCACAGUAUCGCAUGGUACAGUGUGAAAAACUCCGGUGGUAUGAGAUGGACCCGCGUCUGAUUAGCUAGAUGGCGGGGUAACGGCCCACCAUGGCGACGAUCAGUAGCCGGUCUGAGAGGAUGAACGGCCACAUUGGGACUGAGAUACGGCCCAG